RNAcentral lists this ribosomal RNA (253 nucleotides) under uncultured bacterium. RNAcentral describes it as "partial 16S ribosomal RNA". It matches the Rfam family "Bacterial small subunit ribosomal RNA", at positions 524 to 776 of the family's 1533-position model. The record is from RNAcentral.
UACGUAGGGUGCGAGCGUUAAUCGGAAUUACUGGGCGUAAAGCGUGCGUAGGCGGUUUGCCGUGUCCUGUGUGAAAGCCCCGGGCUCAACCUGGGAAUUGCAUGGGAAACUGGCAGGCUUGAGUGUGGCAGAGGAGGGUGGAAUUCCGCGUGUAGCAGUGAAAUGCGUAGAGAUGCGGAGGAACACCGUUGGCGAAGGCAGCCCUCUGGGCCAACACUGACGCUCAGGCACGAAAGCGUGGGGAGCAAACAGG